ACUCAAAGGAAUAGACGGGGGCCCGCACAAGCGGAGGAGCAUGUGGUUUAAUUCGAUGAUACGCGAGGAACCUUACCCGGGCUUGAACGUAAGACGAAUAUUGGGGAAACCUGAUAGCCUACGGGCGUCUUGCGAGGUGCUGCAUGGUUGUCGUCAGCUCGUGCCGUGAGGUGUUAGGUUAAGUCCUGCAACGAGCGCAACCCUUACUUGUAGUUGCCAGCACGUUAUGGUGGGAACUCUACAGGAACUGCCUACGCAAGUAGCGAGGAAGGUGGGGAUGACGUCAAAUCAGCACGGCCCUUAUGUUCGGGGCUACACACGUGCUACAAUGGCAUGUACAGAGGGCUGCUACCACGUGAGUGGAUGCUAAUCCUCAAAGCAUGUCUCAGUUCGGAUUGGAGUCUGUAACUCGACUCUAUGAAGUUGGAUUCGCUAGUAAUCGCGCAUCAGCCAUGGCGCGGUGAAUACGUUCCCGGGCCUUGUACACACCGCCCGU
Molecule: ribosomal RNA, 496 nt
Filed under: uncultured bacterium
Lineage: Bacteria
Description: bacterial SSU rRNA
Rfam family: Bacterial small subunit ribosomal RNA
Source: RNAcentral